AGCAUGUCAGGCUUCUAUAUAUAUCUAGGAAAAAUAAUGUAGGCAUGUGGUCAGGAAAACAGCUGUGUCAGUCAGGCUUCUCGUUUACAACCGAAACGAGAGUUAACCCAAACCUGCAGAGCUGUGUGAUGCAAGACAGUUUCAGCUGUGUGCUGCAGAAGCCACUGAGAUGGCCCCGUGAAAUCUCUGAGUAAACAGAAGUAUUGCUUCUGAGCAUCUUUCACAACUACAGCAACCGCUCAAAGGCUUCUUUCUGAGAAUGGACACCCGAUCAGAAGCCCAGGCUGGGCUGUGAAUGUAGAGAAGUGUGAGCACAGCAGAGAGAAAAAAGGCAGGAAAGAAAUGCGUUGGAAAUACCUGCAGUGCUGGCAUCCUCACAGCACAGAAAAAAAAAAAACAAAACAAAACAGAGUGUCAGAAAAGAGCAUUUCACCAAGAGGUGACCAAAAAGAAUAUUUUGGAAACCUACAGCACAAGUCCUGCACCUCACAGAGAAGAAUGAUUGCGUCCAUAAUCUGCCCCUGCAAGGAGACUGAACGAGAUGCUGCUGUGCCGGGCGAAGCUGCCUCUGCCCUGCCGAGCAGAUUGCAGCAAAGCACAGGGGGAAACCUCCCUCAGCUCGCAGAGAGGAACCGAAACGCUGUCACAGGUCAAGACCAGCCUUCCAGCCAGAAGUGGGAAGGACUUCAAGGUGGCAUGAACCUCCAUGUCAUAUCUUAACCAAGAGAGCAGUCAGCAUGAGGAAGGGGCAGAACAGGUAUGCGUUUCAGGACUCAGAGGCGUGCACCGCCUUUCAGAAAUGCCUAUGGAAAGGCUGAAUCCUUCAGGUUAAAAUGAAGAAGCAGAGGUAAGUAGCUCAGGUCCUAGAAUGAAAUAUUGAAAGCCACUCUUGAUAGUUUGCUCACUAAGCAUCCCUCACCUUUCCCUCCUCCGGUGGGAAUUUAAGGUAAUCGGAGGAAUGCCUGACACAAGUGUCGAGUAGAGGCAAGGAAUCAAAUAAACUUUUCUCUGUAUUGCUUGCA
RNAcentral lists this long non-coding RNA (1022 nucleotides) under Anser brachyrhynchus (Pink-footed goose). RNAcentral describes it as "lncRNA (ENSABRG00000013762.1)". Lineage: Eukaryota; Metazoa; Chordata; Aves; Anseriformes; Anatidae. The record is from RNAcentral.